CGGGGCUCGGGGGGCGCAGGGGGGGCUAGGAGGGGGCGGGGAGGGCGCGGGGCUCGGGGGGCGCCAGGGGGGGGGGGGGGCUGGGAGGGGGCGGGGAGGGCGCAGGGCUCAGAGGGCGGGAUGGGGACGCGGGGCUCGGAGGGCGCAGGGGGGGCUAGGAGGGGCGGGGAGGGCGCGGGGCUCGGGGGGCGCAGGGGGGGCGGGGAGGGGGCGGGGAGGGCGCGGCGUCGAGCCCCGGGCAGGGGCGGAGCGGAGGGCGGGGGCCAGAGCGGGGGGGGGGGGGGGGGGGGGGGGGGGGGGACACAGGGGGGCGGGCAGUCGGCGUCCCCGGAACCGCGCUUCCCGCAGUGGGGGCGCUCGCGGGUGUAGACGCCGCUCGCGGGGCGCGGGUGUAGGCCGCGGGGCGCCGCCGGCGUCGGACGGGCGCGCUCUGAGUUGGGGCGAGCUUGCAGAACGGCGGUGCAGCGCGCCUUGGGGCGGCCCUGGGGGCUGCGGGUCCGGCGGCGGCGGCCGGGCUCAGCGGGCAGGUGCACCCUGCGCAGCGGCCUGCGGGGCGUUUGUGACAGCGCGACCUCGUCGGUGCCCGCCCCGGGUGCCCGUCCUCCCCUGGCGGAGGUGCCGCGCUCGAGUCCCCGAGUCCCGAGUGCCCGUGGGCGGGCCGAGGUAGCCCAGGUGCCCGGAGGCCGGUGUGGGCGCGGGUGAGCACUGCCAGCGCGGGGAGGGCUCCACCUGCGGCCGCCCCGGGAGGUCCCCGGAGGUCCUGCCCCCGCGCUGCUGCACAAGUGAGCCUCCAGGUCGGUGUGAGCCUCGGGACUGUGGGCCGUGUGCUCCCGCUGCCCACCACUGCUUCAGGGGCUGCGGGGGACCCGAGGACACCACGCUGCAGGAGCUCAGUCUGAAGGACAUGGAGGAUCCAGUAGCAACAGCAAGCUUCGGGCUUCACGGUUAGCUUCUCGGAUGGCAGGAACCGCGGCAGAGUAUGAUUCCCUUUAUUUGAAGAUGAAAACCGGGGCAAAGUCGACGUUUCAUUUAGGAUUACAGACACAGGCGGCACAUCCUUUAAUUUUUAAAGGUCAUCAAUAUGAGGAGAGCACAAAACUCCAAAACCGAAUAACUCUAGAAAACCAAAGAGCCUCAGUUAUCAGCAACGCAAAAUACACACGGAGUGCCGGUGUGUCCUCUCUGCCUCCUGCCCCGGGACCUAAAUCCAGGACAGCAACCUGUGCGCCCGGAGAAGCUCCCAGGAGAACCCACAGAGGCGCAUGCAGCCCCCACUGCAGUGCACGCGAGGGUAGCAGCGGCCGAGCCCAGCGGGCAGGCGACCUGCGGACCCCCAUCCCGCACCUGCUGGCCCCCCGGCCUGCCCGGCCCGAAGCCGGGACACAGAAGGACGGGCGACAGCUGAAGGGCACGGGAUGGCGGACAGGACACGAGCAGGGAACCCGCCCAGGCUGAGCCCACCUCCGUGCCCGAGUGCACGGGAGACGCUGUCGGACGGGCUGGGUGCUGGGUGACACCUGGGCGGGGACGAGCACCCAGAGCCGCGCGCCAGACAGCGAGCCAAAUGGCACGUUCCCCGUUACGUGUGUUCUUUUUUUUUUUUAAGAUUUUAUUUAUUAAAAAAAAAUUAUUUAUUUAUUCCUGAGAGACCCAGAGAGAGCAGGGGAGCCCGAUGCAGGACUCGAUCCCGGAACCCCGGCGUCACGCCCUGGACCCAAGGCAGAUGCUCAACCGCUGAGCCACCCAGGCGCCUGCAUGGUCUACCACGGUUUUUAUUUUUUUAUUUUUUAUUUAUUUUUUUAUUUUUUUUUUUAAAGAUUUUAUUUAUUUAUUCAUGAUAGUCACACACAGAGAGAGAGAGGCAGAGACAUAGGCAGAGGGAGAAGCAGGCUCCAUGCAGGGAGCCCGACGUGGGAUUCGAUCCAGGUUCUCCAGGAUCGCGCCCCGGGCCAAAGGCAGGCGCCAAACCGCUGCGCCACCCAGGGAUCCCUCUACCACGGUUUUUAAAAAAAUUAUAUAACGUUCUAAAAACAAUCUAAUUGUAUACGCCUAACGUGUGAAUUAUAUCUCAAAGAUGUUUCAAGAAAAACCCCAGGAUUACGAUAGUCUUAAUUUUCUAAGUAUAUAUUUUAUUUUUGAAAAUAUGUGCGUGUGUGUGCGUGUGUGUGUGUGUGUGUGUGCAGGGAGCCGUUGGUUGAGCUCCAACUGUUUCACUUCAGGUCCUGAUCCCGGGGUCGUGGGAUCGAGCCCCACUUGGGGUCUGCGCUCAGCAGGGAAUGUGCUGGAGAUUUUCUCUCUCCCUCUCCCCCUCCUGCUCAUAGGCGAGCCUACACUCCCUCGCUCUCCGUCUCUCAAACAAAUCUUUAUAUAUGUAUGCAAAAACCUGUGUGUGUGUGUGUGUGUGUGCAUUGUUUGUACAUUGUAGAUGAGUGAUUUAGCGGAUAUUUUCUCUUUUCUGAAUUUAAUUCAGAAAAUUCUUUAAAAUUCUUAAAAAUGUCCUCCAUUUAAGAAUUUUGUAGGGAUCCCUGAGUGGCGCAGCGGUUUGGCGCCUGCCUUUGGCCCAGGGUGCGAUCCUGGAGACCCGGGAUCGAGUCCCACGUCGGGCUCCCGGUGCAUGGAGCCUGCUUCUCCCUCUGCCUGUGUCUCUGCCUCUCUCUCUCUCUCUCUCUGUGACUAUCAUAAAUAAAUAAAAAAAAAAUUAAAAAAAAAAAAGAAUUUUGUAAUUUGGGGGCACCUGGGUGGCUCAGCAGUGAAACGUCUGCCAUCGGCUCAGGCCGUGACCCCGGGGUCCCGGGAUCGAGUCCCACAUUGGGAUCCCCCCAGGGAGCCUGCUUUUCCCUCUGCCUGUGUCUCUCUUUCUCUCUCUCUCUGUGUCUCUCG
RNAcentral lists this long non-coding RNA (2880 nucleotides) under Canis lupus familiaris (dog). RNAcentral describes it as "lncRNA (ENSCAFG00000058092.1)". The record is from RNAcentral. Lineage: Eukaryota; Metazoa; Chordata; Mammalia; Carnivora; Canidae.